This 234-nucleotide long non-coding RNA is filed under the name Gossypium raimondii (Peruvian cotton). RNAcentral describes it as "long non-coding RNA (GRAI_LNC003791)". The record is from RNAcentral. Lineage: Eukaryota; Viridiplantae; Streptophyta; Magnoliopsida; Malvales; Malvaceae.
UUAUAAUUCACUUAGAUUUAGCCUAGAAGCACUUUAAAAAUUGAAAGAUAAAAAAAUUACUUUAAAAUAAAAAAUAAAAAAACCAAAAACAACAAUCCCUUUUAUUUAAAAAACUUAAAAUCAACCCUAUUACUCAAGUAAAAAAAUUAAUUUUUUCGCAUCAACUCCCUCUUUAUGAACAGAACAAACCCUAACACAAAUUAGUCAAAAUUGAAAGAAAAAUUCAGCAAAAAG